RNAcentral lists this unclassified non-coding RNA (159 nucleotides) under uncultured fungus. RNAcentral describes it as "sequence contains ITS1". Lineage: Eukaryota; Fungi. The record is from RNAcentral.
AUAAAUGAACCGCCAGUUCUCUCUGUUUCGGCAGAGAUUGAGCAGGCAAUUACCCUUUGUGAACUGUAAUUGUACUUGGGUACACUACUCUUUCGAGAGGACGGUACCCGUAUUUAUAAACCCCCAUAUAUGUUUAUCUGAAUUUUGAACUAAGAGAAA